This is a non-coding RNA of Pelobates cultripes (western spadefoot toad), 98 nucleotides long. NCBI's taxonomy places the organism in Eukaryota, Metazoa, Chordata, Amphibia, Anura, Pelobatidae. The record is from the annotation of a GenBank genome assembly.
UGCAGUAAGGUAAGAGCCGUUUUUGUGUAUGUGUGUGUGUGUGUGUGUGUGUAUAUAUAUAUACACACACACACAUACACAAAAACGGCUCUUACCUU